GACGAACGCUGGCGGCGUGCCUAAUACAUGCAAGUCGAACGCUUCUUUCCUCCCGAGUGCUUGCACUCAAUUGGAAAGAGGAGUGGCGGACGGGUGAGUAACACGUGGGUAACCUACCCAUCAGAGGGGGAUAACACUUGGAAACAGGUGCUAAUACCGCAUAACAGUUUAUGCCGCAUGGCAUAAGAGUGAAGGGCGCUUUCGGGUGUCGCUGAUGGAUGGACCCGCGGUGCAUUAGCUAGUUGGUGAGGUAACGGCUCACCAAGGCCACGAUGCAUAGCCGACCUGAGAGGGUGAUCGGCCACACUGGGACUGAGACACGGCCCAGACUCCUACGGGAGGCAGCAGUAGGGAAUCUUCGGCAAUGGACGAAAGUCUGACCGAGCAACGCCGCGUGAGUGAAGAAGGUUUUCGGAUCGUAAAACUCUAUUGUUAGAGAAGAACAAGGACGUUAGUAACUGAACGUCCCCUGACGGUAUCUAACCAGAAAGCCACGGCUAACUACGUG
This 508-nucleotide ribosomal RNA is filed under the name uncultured bacterium. RNAcentral describes it as "partial 16S ribosomal RNA". It matches the Rfam family "Bacterial small subunit ribosomal RNA", at positions 28 to 507 of the family's 1533-position model. The record is from RNAcentral.